Molecule: non-coding RNA, 162 nt
Filed under: Listeria phage A006
Lineage: Duplodnaviria; Heunggongvirae; Uroviricota; Caudoviricetes
Description: Listeria sRNA rliG
Rfam family: Listeria sRNA rliG
Source: Rfam by way of RNAcentral
AUUGAACUGGCGACAACACUUGGGAUUGAAGUGUUAAAUUGAAAAUGGCACUUUUUUGGCACUUUUUGAGUAAAAAAAGGUGAUAAAAUGUUAUUAGUGAGAAGUGAAGAUGAUUACAAAAAUAAAUCUUAUAUUGAGUCUGCACUCCACUUCUCAUUUAUA